UCCAGGCCUGUUUCAAGGGUACAAUGAACAAGAGAGGAACGCAUCAGCUGGACCUUUCUGCAAAAUUCACUCAGCAGACAUGUUUUCAGAGCACCUGUUCUGUGUCAGGCCUGAGCUUUGCCCUGGGGAUAUAGGAAGAAAGAAGUUGGAGACAGGCAGUUACAGCGCCACGUGAUGGCAGCCUAUGGAGGCCCCGUGGUGAGGCCUGGCAACUCCAUGAGGGAGUUGGACGGAAUCUUGUACAGCCUGCCAGCGGCCAUGUGAGUGAGUUUGGAAGUGGAUCACGUAGAUCAAGAGGAGCCUUGAGGUGACUGCCGCCUCGGCCGAUGGCCUGAUUGCAACCCCUGAGACACUGAGUCGGAGGCACCCAACUGAACCACACCUGGACACCCAACCGCAGAAACUGUGAGAUAAUAAAUCUAUGUUGUUUUAAGCCCCUUGGUAUUGGGGACACUUGCUAUGCAGCAACAGGUCACUAACACUCGAGUCCUGCCCCCAGCCAGGGCCCUUUAAAGGCCAGCUCUGAUCCCAUAGCUCCACACACAGCCAGUCGUUGAUCUGCCGUCUCAGCAGGCCACUGUCAUCAGCUGCUCUUGACAAAGACCUCUCAGGCACGGUUGGAAAGAACUGGCUCCACGAGACAGAGCUGCCCUGUCCUGGGGAAGACGUGCA
Long non-coding RNA from Suricata suricatta (meerkat), 672 nucleotides. RefSeq lists it as uncharacterized. The record is from RefSeq and is a predicted model, not a curated record. Lineage: Eukaryota; Metazoa; Chordata; Mammalia; Carnivora; Herpestidae. The transcript has 3 exons.